CUGUUGAAUGUGUCAGUAACAAUGGACAAGGUGAAAAAAGAGAAAAUCUACUCAUCCGUAAAACCUUCCCUGAAAAACAUGUAACCAGCACAGAAGUUGUAGAGCAUAAAGAGAUGUCAGGCAAUCUGAGUGUAAAACUUCUCGUAUCCAUUGCUGCUGUAUCGAUCCUUGUCAAUAUCAUCUUUAUAAUCUACUUUGUGCUCUUUUGGAACUCAAGAAAAAAGAUGAAACCAAAGGAGGAAGAGCAAACAUACAUGUCCCUGCAGAAAACAGACGGAUUAUCAGAAUAUGAUGUUAUUUGCCAGUCUCUGAAUUAGUAAAUGUCACAGAGUG
Long non-coding RNA from Oreochromis aureus, 333 nucleotides. RefSeq lists it as uncharacterized. The transcript is spliced from 3 exons. NCBI's taxonomy places the organism in Eukaryota, Metazoa, Chordata, Actinopteri, Cichliformes, Cichlidae. The record is from RefSeq and is a predicted model, not a curated record.